This 510-nucleotide ribosomal RNA is filed under the name uncultured Lachnospiraceae bacterium. RNAcentral's name for it is "partial 16S ribosomal RNA". The record is from RNAcentral. Lineage: Bacteria; Bacillati; Bacillota; Clostridia; Lachnospirales; Lachnospiraceae.
CACGUAGUUAGCCGGGGCUUCUUACUCAGGUACUGUCAUUUUCUUCCCUGCUGAUAGAGCUUUACAUACCGAAAUACUUCUUCACUCACGCGGCGUCGCUGCAUCAGGGUUUCCCCCAUUGUGCAAUAUCCCCCACUGCUGCCUCCCGUAGGAGUUUGGGCCGUGUCUCAGUCCCAAUGUGGCCGUCCGCCCUCUCAGGCCGGCUACUGAUCGUCGCUUUGGUAGGCCGUUACCCUGCCAACUGGCUAAUCAGACGCGGGUCCAUCGUAUACCACCGGAGUUUUUCACACCGUUCCAUGCGGAACUGUGCGCUUAUGCGGUUUUAGCACCUAUUUCUAAGUGUUAUCCCCCUGUAUACGGCAGGUUACCCACGCGUUACUCACCCGUCCGCCACUAAGUUAACAACAUCUCUGCUCCUAGCAAGCUAUUUGCUUCAAAAAUGUUAACUCCGUUCGACUUGCAUGUGUUAAGCACGCCGCCAGCGUUCAUCCUGAGCCAGGAUCAAACUCU